Petromyzon marinus (sea lamprey) is the source of this 2101-nucleotide non-coding RNA. Lineage: Eukaryota; Metazoa; Chordata; Hyperoartia; Petromyzontiformes; Petromyzontidae. The record is from RefSeq and is a predicted model, not a curated record.
AAAGCAAAAACCAAACGCCGCCGCCGAGCGAGUUGUUGAAGCCGCGGAUCUUCGCGGUGCUGUCGACGAUUGAGGGCGACUGCGACGAGGAAGACAAAUACCGCCGAGCCAAAACAACUGCCCGGAAAGGUUCGCCGACAGCCGAUAGAGAUUUACGACGACAAGUGAAAUGUAAAUCGAAGCUUCCUUGAAAUUCGAUCAAAUUCAAGCCACGAAUUGCACGUACACACACCUCCCCCCGCCCCCCUUUUUUCAAACGACACACAGGAGUAUAAAUACUUUCCAUCUACUUAUCAAUCUUAACCUUUGCGCGUGGUGUCGAUUCGGGCAAAACAACGAGCGAGGUUCAGUGGCCACUCCGGGGUUUGUAGGUCGGCUGAUUCGAUCGAGGCCCAUCGUCCCGACGCCGCGCGGGAUGGACGCGGACGGCGAGCGCAGGGCCGUGCGCGAAGCGGGGCGCCUCCGACAUGCAAGCGACGUGGCACGGGGGACGACGACGCUGGGAGGGGACAGCGCUGGCCCAUGCGGACACAUACGGGAAGGACAAUCGCGAGAGGAGAGGUCAGUGACGUAGCUAUGGAGCGCGUAGGCGGUGCACGCGCACCGCUGCACCACCGCUCCGUCCUGGCGGCGACAACACAAGUUGGAAGAAAUUGGAAUGCGCCUGCAGCUGCCGGGUGUUUGCCUACCUCUUGAGCGACGAAAACGCCUGGACAUAUCACGGGGAGAAUAAUAUCUGGCAAAUACUGGCAAGAGGAGAGAACUACGUGUGCACGAAUUGUCCCGAGUGGUGUAUUAUUAUUAUGAUUACUUUUGUAGUGCACUGACAUAGACUUACAGGUUACCCAGAAUAGCUAUCUCAAAAAGAAGAUCCUGGGAAAACCGGGCCGAGUUUGCCAUUGGCGUGCACAUUUUCCAAAUGACAUGCUCUUGGUCUCCGCCACCGCCCCCCCCCGCCCUCUCUAGAACGAGGACGACCGCACGUGCAGCUGAUGCGGUGGACCAAUACGAAUGUGACCCAUGCAGGGAGAAGCGCGGGGCACAGAGGGAAUGAAACGACCGCCCUGCUCUACUCGCAUCGCUCAGGCCGCACACAAAAAACAACGGGUCGGCAAAGAACGAAUGGGGUUUUGUUUUUUGUUGUCUAACGCCACACCAUUCACACGUCCGUCAUGCUCGGCAACCGUUUUCGAAGAGGGAUGCGGACAUUGGCGGCAGGGAAGGGUUUUGUCAAACUGGAGGGGCUCUAAGAGCGAACGCGCCCAAGUUGCUCAUGUGGUGGUGGGGUCCCCAAGGUCUGCUGUCGUAAAAACGCACUGCAAGCAGAUAUCUCAACGUUAAAAUACCCCCGGAUAACGCCUCCCACUAUCGAAUUCUACUCAGUGUUUGGACCCGUCUAAAUCACUUUUUAUUUGAACCCACGGAAUUCAGUCUCAUUGGACUAGUAUGAUGUUAAAAUGACGCAGAUUAUUCUAUAACCAAAACCCCGUGCAAAUUAAAUAACCCUCCACAUAAUUGCGGAUGAUACCUUGAGUUAGCAUGCGAUAUAAUUAGGAUUUAUGUAGCAACGAACUGAAACUCCAUCUCAGGUUAUCGAUUGCCGCGUAUUUACUUAUUUCUACUUAGCAAACAUGUAUAGACUCGGGUCCUGAAGUUACCGAGUAUGUUAUUGAAAAUAAAUCGACAAGCAAACCACAAUCUGGACAUAACUCUUGAUUGUAGCAGUAUACCUUUAGCUUCAUCGAGUUCAUACGAUAUCUGACAGAAUAUAGGACGGAAAAGCAUUGAACCGUUUCGGUGGCUUUAAGUUAAUUUAAGCGAAAUGCACUCGGUCUGAGCCACGGUUUGUGGUCACGUUUGAGAGGGCGGCAAAGGAAUAGGAGGCGAGGGCUGGGAUGAGGCCUGUGCAGAACAAGCACAGAUUGGUCCUUCACUCACACUUAACGCUUAAAAGGCAGGGCUUCAUUUUUCAUGGAAUGUUUUCCCCGGGGCCCUUAACCCCCUAACCCCUAGAAAUAUUUAUCAGAGCUCAGCCCGGGACAGCUCCAUGUGAACUGAAGCCCUACUUAGAAGUAACAUCGGUUCGCUACUGAACAAAAAA